This 1037-nucleotide long non-coding RNA is filed under the name Sus scrofa (pig). RNAcentral's name for it is "lncRNA (ENSSSCG00030008780.1)". The record is from RNAcentral. Lineage: Eukaryota; Metazoa; Chordata; Mammalia; Artiodactyla; Suidae.
GUACAUUUCUGCUUUUCCAUUCUGGAAUGAAUACAUGAGAAAAUGCAUGUCAGAAGCCUCUGAAUUGGCUGGGAAAAUUAUUUUUAAGUGGCUCUUUAAAAAUUAUUAUUUGGGAGUUCCCAUUGUGGCUCAGCAGGAAUGAACCCAUAGUAUCCAUGAGGAUGUGGGUUUGAUCCCCAGCCUUGCUCAGUGGGUUAAGGAUCUGGUAUUGCCAUGAGCUGUGGGGUAGGUCACAGACGUGGCUCAGAUCUGGCGUUGCUAUGGCUGUGGUGUCGGCUGGCGGCUACAGCUCUGAUUUGACCCCUCGCCUGGGAACCUCCAUAUACUGCAGCUGUGGCCAUGGCGGGGGGAACCUUUAUAAACUUUUCUCAGCUUUUACUUUCUUAUCUUUAUGGAAAUGGUAAUAUCUACAUAUCCUUUCUCUGUUACACCCAAGACAUGUUUUCAGAGAGGGGAUUUUUGUUGCUUACUGUUUUACAGGAAAUAAACUGAGGUUUCUAUUGGGAAAAAAAAUGCUAGCUGUCAUGUACUGAGAAUGCUCUUCUUGCCAAUUGGUAGGGUUAAUUUACCAUCCUGUUCACCUUGGCAAUAACCUUAUAAGAUAGGUCUGAUGAGUACUGCAUCUUACAGCUGGAGAAACUGGGGCUGGAAGAGCUCAAGCUGCUCGCACAGGUCACUGGGCCUGAAAAGAAAGACUGUAGCCAAGAAUGGAACUCAACUACACGGAUGUCAGCUACACGGAACUCAACCACACACCGAGAAGUGAUGACGUUUCUACAAUUCAGGGCUGGAAUCUGACUUCACUACUCCCAAGAAUGCCUGCUCAGAACCCUGAUAAUCCUGGAAGGCUUGAAAAGGCAGAACUCUUUAUUUCUACUGCCCAGACCUUACCACACAAGCAAAGGCCUAAGAAAGAAGCAGUGGCAACGCUAACAUUUUCUGGAUAGCUGUGUUGGCCUGACACUGGACGAGGUAUUUUAUGUUAAUUCUCUCAAAUAACAGAAGAGGCAGACAUUAUUAUAUCCAUUUUAUAGGUG